Molecule: small nucleolar RNA, 72 nt
Filed under: Triticum aestivum (bread wheat)
Lineage: Eukaryota; Viridiplantae; Streptophyta; Magnoliopsida; Poales; Poaceae
Also listed under: 1 other name
Source: RNAcentral
GAAUUGCCUGUGAUGGUGUUAAAUAUACUUUGCAGCUUCAGCUAUGAAAAAAACUACAAUCUGAGGCUUUUU